RNAcentral lists this ribosomal RNA (454 nucleotides) under uncultured Prevotellaceae bacterium. RNAcentral describes it as "bacterial SSU rRNA". It matches the Rfam family "Bacterial small subunit ribosomal RNA", at positions 341 to 792 of the family's 1533-position model. Lineage: Bacteria; Pseudomonadati; Bacteroidota; Bacteroidia; Bacteroidales; Prevotellaceae. The record is from RNAcentral.
ACGGGAGGCAGCAGUGAGGAAUAUUGGUCAAUGGGCGGAAGCCUGAACCAGCCAAGUCGCGUGAAGGAUGAAGGUAUUAUGUAUUGUAAACUUCUUUAGACGUAGAGAAAUAAGAGGCCCGUGAGCCUUGAUGCUAGUAUACGUAGAAUAAGGAUCGGCUAACUCCGUGCCAGCAGCCGCGGUAAUACGGAGGAUCCGAGCGUUAUCCGGAUUUAUUGGGUUUAAAGGGAGCGUAGGCGGAAGGUCAAGUCAGCUGUGAAAUGUAGUCGCUCAACGUCUGCACUGCAGUUGAAACUGGCCUCCUUGAGUGCGUAAGAGGCAGGUGGAAUUCGUCGUGUAGCGGUGAAAUGCUUAGAUAUGACGAAGAACUCCGAUUGCGAAGGCAGCUUGCUGGGCCGCAACUGACGCUGAAGCUCGAAGGUGCGGGUAUCAAACAGGAUUAGAUACCCUGGUA